RNAcentral lists this ribosomal RNA (647 nucleotides) under uncultured bacterium. Its description in RNAcentral is "bacterial SSU rRNA". It matches the Rfam family "Bacterial small subunit ribosomal RNA", at positions 99 to 780 of the family's 1533-position model. The record is from RNAcentral.
CGGACGGGUUAGAACGCGUGGGAAUAUACCCUUCUCUACGGAAUAGCCUCGGGAAACUGAGAGUAAUACCGUAUACGCCCUUCGGGGGAAAGAUUUAUGGGAGAAGGAUUAGCCCGCGUUGGAUUAGGUAGUUGGUGGGGUAAUGGCCCACCAAGCCGACGAUCCAUAGCUGGUUUGAGAGGAUGAUCAGCAACACUGGGACUGAGACACGGCCCAGACUCCUACGGGAGGCAGCAGUGGGGAAUCUUAGACAAUGGGGGAAACCCUGAUCUAGCCAUGCCGCGUGAGUGACGAAGGCCCUAGGGCCGCAAAGCUCUUUCGCCAGGGAAGAUAAUGACGGUACCUGGUUAAGAAACCCCGGCUAACUCCGUGCCCGCAGCCGCGGUAAUACGGAGGGGGUUAGCGUUGUUCGGAAUUACUGGGCGUAAAUCGCACGUAGGCGGACUUUUAAGUUAGAGGUGAAAUCCCAGGGCUCAACCCUGGAACUGCCUUUAAUACUGGGAGUCUUGAGUUCGAGAGAGGUGAGUGGAAUUCCGAGUGUAGAGGUGAAAUUCGUAGAUAUUCGGAGGAACACCCAGUGGCGAAGGCGGCUCACUGGCUCGAUACUGACGCUGAGGUGCGAAAGCGUGGGGAGCAAAACAGGAUUA